Non-coding RNA from Camellia sinensis, 260 nucleotides. Lineage: Eukaryota; Viridiplantae; Streptophyta; Magnoliopsida; Ericales; Theaceae. The record is from RefSeq and is a predicted model, not a curated record.
GAUGACUUGGCUUUCUCACCAAAAGACCAUCAAUCCGUUGAAUCAUUUCUUCAGCUUGAAAAGGGCAGUCUCAAUGCUCCAUUUACUCAGUAUUAUAAAAGUGUCAUGCAAAAGGCUACUUCAAGGAAUCUAGACACUAAUGGAAUUAAAAGUUCCAUGGAGCGUAAGAAUAUGAAAAGAAAAAGAGGACGGCUUCCACGCAAAAUGCUUAAUGGUGGUGUCAAUAGUGAAGGAGAUGAUCCUAAAGGGUAGAAAAGCAC